This is a non-coding RNA of Schistosoma haematobium, 45 nucleotides long. The record is from Rfam. NCBI's taxonomy places the organism in Eukaryota, Metazoa, Platyhelminthes, Trematoda, Strigeidida, Schistosomatidae.
AUCUAGUUGACGAGUUCCAAAUAGAACGAAACGUGCGACCUUGAU